CCCCUAGAUGUUCUGGGCCGCACGCGCGCUACACUGAACAGUUCAACAAGUCUUAACCUUGGCCGAUAGGUCUGGGUAAUCUUUGAACGCUGUUCGUGAUUGGGAUAGACCUUUGCAAUUAUGGGUCUUCAACGAGGAAUUCCUAGUAAACGCAAGUCAUCAGCUUGCAUUGAUUACGUCCCUGCCCUUUGUACACACCGCCCGUCGCACCUACCGAUUGAAUGGUCCGGUGAAAUCUCGGGACGGCGGCUUGGUCGCUUGCGUCCGACUGCUGAAACUUGAUUAAACCAUNUNAUUUAGNGGAAGGUGAANUCGUANCC
This 320-nucleotide ribosomal RNA is filed under the name uncultured eukaryote. Its description in RNAcentral is "partial 18S ribosomal RNA". It matches the Rfam family "Eukaryotic small subunit ribosomal RNA", at positions 1470 to 1796 of the family's 1831-position model. The record is from RNAcentral.